RNAcentral lists this ribosomal RNA (263 nucleotides) under uncultured bacterium. RNAcentral's name for it is "partial 16S ribosomal RNA". It matches the Rfam family "Bacterial small subunit ribosomal RNA", at positions 88 to 354 of the family's 1533-position model. The record is from RNAcentral.
CCGGCGACCGGCGCACGGGUGAGUAACACGUAUGCAACCUGCCCGUCUCAGGGGGAUAAUCGUCGGAAACGGCGUCUAAUACCCCGUAUGAAGCUGGACGGCAUCGUCUGGUUUUGAAGAAUAUCGGAGACGGAUGGGCAUGCGGCGCAUUAGCUAGUUGGCGGGGUAACGGCCCACCAAGGCGACGAUGCGUAGGGGUUCUGAGAGGAAGGUCCCCCACACUGGUACUGAGACACGGACCAGACUCCUACGGGAGGCAGCAG